CGACAUUUGGUUUUUUGGGAUUGGCUAUCUUCACUUAGCAUUAUCUUCUCUAACUCCAUCCAUUUACCUGAAAAUGCCAUGAUUUUAUUCUCUUUUAUUGUUCAGUAAUAUUCCAUUGUGUAUAUAUGCCACAUUUUUUUUAUCCAUUCAUCUAUUGAAGGGCAUCUAGGUUGGUUCCACAGUUUAGGUAUUGUGAAUUAUGCUGCUAUAAACAUUGAUAUGGCUGUGUCCCUGUAGUAUGCUCUUUUUAAGUCCUUUGGGAAUAGACAGAGGAGAGGGAUUGCUUGUUCAAUUUCUUUCUUUAGUGUUCUGUAGUUUUCAUCAUAGAGGUCUUUCACUUCUUUUGUUAAAUUGAUUCCAUUUGUUUGUUUGUUUGUGUGUUUGAGGCUAUUGUGAAUGAAGUACUUUUCCUAAUUUCUCUUUCAGAGGAUUUAUCACUGAUGUAUAGAAAUUCAUUUGAUUUAUGGGUAUUGGUUUUAUAUCCUGCUACUUUGCUGAAUUCAUUUUUUAAUUCUGGAAAUUUUCUGGGGGAACUUUUUGGAUCCUCUAAGUAUAGAAUCAUAUCAUCAGCAAAUAAUGAUAGUUUGAAUUCUUCUUUUCCUAUUUGUAUCCCUUUAAUUUCUUUUGUCUAAUUACUCUGGCUAGAGUUUCAAGGGGUAUGUUGAAUAGAAGAAGUGGUGAAAGAAGGCAUCCCUGUCUUGUUCCAGUUUUUAGAGGGAAUGCUUCCAAUUUUUCUCCAUGUAGAAUGAUGUUGGCCUUGGGUUUAGCAUAGAUAGCUUUUACAAUGUUGAGGUAUGUUCCUACUGUACCUAGUUUUUCUAGUAGUUUGAACAUGAAAGGGUGCUAUAUUUUGUCAAAUGCUUUCUCUGCAUCAAUUGAUAUAAUCAUAUGAUUCUUUUAAGUCUAUUGAUUCGAUGAAUUAUAUUUACUGAUUUUCGUAUGUUGAGCUAAACUUGUAUCCCUGUUUUCAUUUAUUUUGAUCUUUAUCUUUUUCAAUGGUGUUUUGUAGUCUCAGUGUAUGAAUGGAAGCAUUUAUUUUGUUAAAUUUAUUACUAUUUUAUUCUUUUUGAUGCUAUUAUUUUUCUCCCAGG
RNAcentral lists this long non-coding RNA (1091 nucleotides) under Marmota monax (woodchuck). Lineage: Eukaryota; Metazoa; Chordata; Mammalia; Rodentia; Sciuridae. The record is from RNAcentral.